GUUCUGAUUCAUUGUUAAAAUAGAAGCUGUGACCCCGGCAUCCCACCCCGGCACCCCCUGUGCGUGGAAACCCGAGCCGAGGUCUGAUGGUGGAGAAGCCAGGAACCUUCGCCCUGGCUGCCCCAGGGGAGGAUGUGAAAUUCCCCAGGUCUCAGCUGAGAUUGGGCCACAAAGGCCUUAUGUCCUGGUAUGCUUUGGAGGAAACUCACCAGGCCCCACCAUAGGAUCGCAGGAGCUACUUUGGCCUGACUCAACCAGUAUGGAGGAGGUGGCUGGGAAUGCCCCGUGUGAAUACUUUGAGGCCAACGUGCUUGCCCAGAGCUGCUGUCAAAAUUGCUUCCACCCUGAGGAGGCCCACAGACCAAGGCACCAGGUAGGCCAGCUUCCCUGAGUGGUUGCGGCAGUUUGGGAUGGGGGUGUUCAGGACGGGCUGCGGCUGGUGGGCCACUAACUUGUGGCCAAACCCAAACACUGGCCUUCCUCCUGGGCAGAACAGAGGUUCUGCCAUCUGUACAAUGAGCUGAUGGGCCCAUGUUAUGUUUCCCAAAUACAAGUCAUUCUCCUGCUUUUAUGAUUUUUUGCCAUGGCCUCAUGUCAUUUAGUACUUAUU
This is a non-coding RNA of Leptonychotes weddellii (Weddell seal), 610 nucleotides long. The record is from RefSeq and is a predicted model, not a curated record. NCBI's taxonomy places the organism in Eukaryota, Metazoa, Chordata, Mammalia, Carnivora, Phocidae.